Molecule: long non-coding RNA, 447 nt
Organism: Pimephales promelas (fathead minnow)
Lineage: Eukaryota; Metazoa; Chordata; Actinopteri; Cypriniformes; Leuciscidae
Source: RefSeq, a predicted model, not a curated record
AGCAGGAGGGGAGGAGGAUCGGCAGGAGACUCGUGAAGGUGGCCACUGUCAGACAGGCAGCCGCGGGCGAGAGGAGGAUCAUGGGAGGUAUUGACGUUAAACUGGAAGAAAGGGCUUUUCACAUGGGGACACUCCUGAGGGCGCACAAAAACCAUUAAAGCUCCGAAAAGUGGACAGGUGAUGCAUGAGAUUACGUCAUUUUCAGUGGAUUAUGUUUUGCCACAGUUCCGGUUUCCAUGGUAACAGCAACGUCUCUGAUUGGUGGAUCUCUCUUGAGGACUUCACAGGGACUUUGGUUGUUACACCACCUCAAGAGCUUAUAGUAGGUCUGUCUUCUGAUAUCCCAGGCAAAAAGCCGGGCCGAUUCAAUCGCAGGGAAACCAGAUCCAGGACUCACAUGAGCUGGGAUUAACACAAAUAUUUGAGCCCUGCCUUCUUCCCAGGUAA